Long non-coding RNA from Hyla sarda, 1393 nucleotides. RefSeq lists it as uncharacterized. The transcript has 4 exons. The record is from RefSeq and is a predicted model, not a curated record. Lineage: Eukaryota; Metazoa; Chordata; Amphibia; Anura; Hylidae.
GGGAGCGGAGACAACUACUGCGCCUGCGCGACCACCCGCCCAGCAACAGCGGCAGCAGCAGGAGAUAAUAUUCUCUACAAAUAAUGUGCAUUCAGGAGUUACAGAAGAUACUUUGUGUAGAUUAAGGGAAGGCUUUGCUGCCACCAGUGGUAAGAAGUGGUACUGCAGUGGUUCAGGCUGCGGAUUUGUCCAUCCCCCAUGCUUUACACUGCAGCUAUACAUGCUUACAAUUUCUGCUGGAUAGAAGCCUGAGUACUAAUUAAAGGUUAUUAACAACACUUCAGUAAUUUACCCGUAAAGAAGAUAAUUAGGCGUAUGGUAAUUUACAGCGAAGAGAAUAAUUUAAGAUUUGCACAAUUUCUCCCCACGUGUGCAGCAUCGCCCUUCAUGACGCGGUUUACGUGCACCAGUCGGUUGCAGAUAUCUAACAGUGGCAGAAGUUUGGAAUGUGAAUUGCGGCUGGCGGAUUCCCUUACAAGAAUGGAGGGCGGUAUGAUGCGAUAUGGCGGUAGGAACCGUUAUCACAGAGGAGUAUGGAAUCUUUGGUUUUUCCAUUUGCUAGAUUCCUUUCUGAGAACCGAGCAGCUUAGACAGAGCCGUGUUAUUCUUCAAUCACUUCCAGCACCGACGCUCUUGGCCGCGCACCCUAAUAGAAACUCAAUGGAUGAAAUACGUAGUAUAAUUGGAAGCAGGUUCCCAACGUGUGUUACACAUGUCUGCACUUAUCUCACAGGACAGGAUCAUCUCAGUUCAUGCGGGAAAAACAACUGCGUUCCGGGUCCCAGUCCUGCAACAUACUACAUGAGUUCUGCAUGGAUAAUAUUGGAGAUCUCUAUAUGGAGUAAACAAGCAGAAUGUACCGUCACAUGGUGAAUUCACUGACUCAUUUCCUGUUGUUUUUUUCUUCGUGUCUUUUUUUAUUAAUUGAGACCUAAACUUUCUAAGCACCAGCUGUUUCCUGCAUACACCCCAACAACCUCCAGAUACUAGAAAUAAUGGUGACCAAUACCUGUGGUCCUUACGUCAGGUGACACUCUACACAAAUCAUUCAGUACGUACAAGUGAGGUGCCACAAUAGGACACUGGGGAGUGAUGAGAAAGAUAAGUAUUUGUAGAUAACCCACUGCUACGGUGUGUCCGGCUAAUGGAGUCCCAUGCUCAAUCAAUGCAGCUUUAAAGGGGUACUCCAGUGAAGAACAAUUAUUUCUUAUCCACUAGCUCCAGAAAGUUAAAGGGGUCCUCCGGCACUAAGACAUCUUAUCCCCCCCCCCCAUUACCAUCAGCCCCCUGAGCAUGUUCGCUCCAGGUCUGAUGACAGCUGCCAAGCCCCUCCCAUAGGCUUGCAUUGAGGGGGUGGAGCGUGUCGUCACACGGGGGCGAAGCCGUGACAUCC